Molecule: ribosomal RNA, 253 nt
Filed under: uncultured bacterium
Lineage: Bacteria
Description: partial 16S ribosomal RNA
Rfam family: Bacterial small subunit ribosomal RNA
Source: RNAcentral
GACGUAGGGAGCAAGCGUUGUCCGGAAUUACUGGGCGUAAAGAGCUCGUAGGUGGGAGCGUAAGUCCGAGAGGAAAUCUCAAGGCUCAACUUUGGGGCUUUCUCGGAUACUGCGUUUCUUGAGGAUAUCAGAGGAAAGUAGAAUUCCCGGUGUAGCGGUGAAAUGCGUAGAUAUCGGGAGGAAUACCAGUGGCGAAGGCGACUUUCUGGGAUAUUCCUGACGCUGAGGAGCGAAAGCGUGGGGAGCAAACGGG